CGAUGCAACGCGAAGAACCUUACCUGGUCUUGACAUCCACGGAAGUUUUCAGAGAUGAGAAUGUGCCUUCGGGAACCGUGAGACAGGUGCUGCAUGGCUGUCGUCAGCUCGUGUUGUGAAAUGUUGGGUUAAGUCCCGCAACGAGCGCAACCCUUAUCCUUUGUUGCCAGCGGUCCGGCCGGGAACUCAAAGGAGACUGCCAGUGAUAAACUGGAGGAAGGUGGGGAUGACGUCAAGUCAUCAUGGCCCUUACGACCAGGGCUACACACGUGCUACAAUGGCGCAUACAAAGAGAAGCGACCUCGCGAGAGCAAGCGAACCUCAUAAAGUGCGUCGUAGUCCGGAUUGGAGUCUGCAACUCGACUCCAUGAAGUCGGAAUCGCUAGUAAUCGUGGAUCAGAAUGCCACGGUGAAUACGUUCCCGGGCCUUGUACACACCGCCCGUCACACCAUGGGAGUGGGUUGCAAAAGAAGUAGGUAGCUUAACCUUCGGGAGGGCGCUUACCACUUUGUGAUUCAUGACUGGGGUGAAGUCGUAACAAGGUAACCGUAGGGGAACCUGCGGUUGGAUCACCUCCUUACCUUAAAGAAGC
This 593-nucleotide ribosomal RNA is filed under the name Escherichia coli. Its description in RNAcentral is "bacterial SSU rRNA". It matches the Rfam family "Bacterial small subunit ribosomal RNA", at positions 952 to 1533 of the family's 1533-position model. Lineage: Bacteria; Pseudomonadati; Pseudomonadota; Gammaproteobacteria; Enterobacterales; Enterobacteriaceae. The record is from RNAcentral.